CAGUCGCCACGGGAAUACGUAGGGUGCAAGCGUUAAUCGGAAUUACUGGGCGUAAAGCGUGCGCAGGCGGUUUGUUAAGACAGAUGUGAAAUCCCCGGGCUCAACCUGGGAACUGCAUUUGUGACUGGCAAGCUAGAGUCUGGCAGAGGGGGGUGGAAUUCCGCGUGUAGCAGUGAAAUGCGUAGAUAUGCGGAGGAACACCGAUGGCGAAGGCAGCCCCCUGUGCCAACACUGACGCUCAUGCACGAAAGCGUGGGGAGCAAACAGGAUUAGAUACCCGCGUAGUCCCUGUCUCUUAUAC
Molecule: ribosomal RNA, 301 nt
Filed under: uncultured bacterium
Lineage: Bacteria
Description: partial 16S ribosomal RNA
Rfam family: Bacterial small subunit ribosomal RNA
Source: RNAcentral